This 496-nucleotide ribosomal RNA is filed under the name uncultured soil bacterium. Its description in RNAcentral is "bacterial SSU rRNA". It matches the Rfam family "Bacterial small subunit ribosomal RNA", at positions 26 to 513 of the family's 1533-position model. The record is from RNAcentral.
AGAUUGAACGCUGGCGGCAUGCCUUACACAUGCAAGUCGAACGGUAGAGUAGCAAUACUCGAGAGUGGCGAACGGGUGAGUAAUAUAUCGGAACGUGCCCAGUCGUGGGGGAUAACGUAGAGAAAUUUACGCUAAUACCGCAUACGAUCUAAGGAUGAAAGCGGGGGAUUCGCAAGAACCUCGCGCGAUUGGAGCGGCUGAUAUCAGAUUAGGUUGUUGGUGAGGUAAAAGCUCACCAAGCCGACGAUCUGUAGCUGGUUUGAGAGAACGACCAGCCACACUGGGACUGAGACACGGCCCAGACUCCUACGGGAGGCAGCAGUGGGAAUUUUGGACAAUGGGCGAAAGCCUGAUCCAGCAAUGCCGCGUGCAGGAAGAAGGCCUUCGGGUUGUAAACGUGUCUUUUGUACGGUAACGUAAACGGUUACCUUUCGUAAAGUAAGGGACUUAAGUGACGGUACCGUAAGAAUAAGCACCGGCUAACUACGUGCCAGCA